Molecule: ribosomal RNA, 1806 nt
Filed under: Triticum aestivum (bread wheat)
Lineage: Eukaryota; Viridiplantae; Streptophyta; Magnoliopsida; Poales; Poaceae
Description: partial small subunit ribosomal RNA
Source: RNAcentral
AUGGACCGAUCCGCCGCGGCGGAGCUGGAGAGGGCGGAGAGGGUGGUGAGGCGGUGGAACUCCACGGCGUCCGCGCCCGCGGGCGGCGGGGGCGGGGGCGGGGGCGGGGGCGGGGAGGACCAGAUGCUGUUCGACGGCGGCGGGGACCGGGCGGAGGCCGAGCGCUUCCUCCAGGCGGUGGACGACCUCCGCCGCCUCGCGCCGCCGUCCCCCGGCAGCCCGCGCCGCACCUCCUCGACGGGGGGCUCCGGCGCCGUCCAGGUCGCCAUGGCGCGGCUCGAGGACGAGUUCCGCCACGUGCUGGCGUCGCGCGCCGUCGACCUCGAGAUCGAGGUGCUGGCCGACCUCAGCUCCCUCUCCAUGUGCAGCGACCGCUCCAGCUUCUCCGACGUCGGCGACGCGCCGCCGCCGGUGGACGACGACUCCGUCGAGUCCUCCGUCGGCCGCCGCAGCAGCUACCGCUCCAUGCGCAGCAUCCGCGAGAUCGACCUCCUCCCGCCCGAAGCCGUCACAGACCUUAACGCCAUCGCCUCCCGCAUGGCCGCCGCCGGCUACGACCGCGAGUGCGUCCAGGUCUACGCCUCCGUCCGCAAGCCGGCCGUCGACUCCGCCCUGCGCCGCCUCGGCGUCGAGAAGCUCACCAUCGGCGACGUCCAGCGGCUCGAGUGGGACGCCCUCGAGGUCAAGAUCCGCCGCUGGAUCCGCGCAGCUCGCGCCGCCAUCCGCGGCGUUUUCGCCAGCGAGCGCCGCCUUUGCUUCCUCAUCUUCCACGACCUCCCCCUCUCCAACCCCACCAUCGCCACCCCCGCUCCCACCACCACGCUCGCCGCCCCCUUCGUCGAAACUGUCAGGGGCGCCGCGCUGCAGCUCUUUGGCUUUGCCGAGGCCAUCAGCAUCGGCCGCCGCUCACCGGAGAAGCUCUUCAAGAUCAUUGAUCUGCACGAUGCACUGGCCGAUCUGCUGCCUGAUGUCUCCGAUAUCUUCGCCGCCUCCAAGGCCGGGGAAUCCAUAUAUGUGCAGACUACCGAGAUCAGGGCGCGUCUGGCUGAUGCUGUCCGUGGGAUACUCUCUGAGUUCGAGAACGCCGUUCUCUGUGAUCCCUCCAAGACUCCAGUACCCGGCGGCACCAUCCAUCCCCUCACUCGCUAUGUGAUGAAUUACAUUGUCCUCAUUUCCGACUACAAGACGACACUUUCUGAGCUGAUCGUGUCACGGCCAUCAGCUAGCUCGCGUGUUCGUGCCGAGGGCAAUGAGCUCAGACCGCCAUUUCCUGAUCUGGACCUUCCUGAUCCUGACAGCCAGCUACCCCUUUCUGCUCAUCUCAUCUGGACUAUUGUGGUUCUUGAACACAACCUUGAAGGCAAGGCAUCACUCUACAAGGACCCGGCACUCUCUCACUUGUUCCUAAUGAACAAUGUGCACUAUAUUGUGCACAAGGUAAAGGACUCGCCUGAGCUCCGGGGACUCAUUGGCGAUGUGUACCUAAAGCGGCUUACAGGAAUAUCCAAAUCAGCACUUCGGGAGCGAUUCAAGUCUUUCAAUGCUGCGUUCGAGGAGGCACAUAGGGUCCAGUCUGGGUGGUAUGUGCCUGACACACAGCUGAAAGAAGAGCUUAGGAUCUCAAUAGCAGAGAAGCUGCUCCCAGCAUAUCGAUCCUUCCUUGGUCGAUUCCGGCAUCAUAUUGAGAAUGGGAGGCAUCCAGAGUUGUACAUCAAAUACACAGUUGAGGACCUUGAGAUAUCCGUGACGGAUUUCUUCGAGGGGUCUCCACCUCCGCCGCAUAAUAGGAGGAGAUCCCAUGGAUGA